GUCGGCGUGGACGAGGGACGGAUCACCGGCCUCAUCGGCCCGAACGGCGCGGGCAAGACGACGCUGUUCAACACCGUCACCGGCC
This 85-nucleotide transfer RNA is filed under the name Streptosporangium carneum. RNAcentral's name for it is "tRNA-Met". The record is from RNAcentral. Lineage: Bacteria; Bacillati; Actinomycetota; Actinomycetes; Streptosporangiales; Streptosporangiaceae.